Molecule: ribosomal RNA, 2389 nt
Filed under: Staphylococcus aureus H38215
Lineage: Bacteria; Bacillati; Bacillota; Bacilli; Caryophanales; Staphylococcaceae
Description: bacterial LSU rRNA
Rfam family: Bacterial large subunit ribosomal RNA
Source: RNAcentral
GAAGGGGAGUGAAAUAGAACCUGAAACCGUGUGCUUACAAGUAGUCAGAGCCCGUUAAUGGGUGAUGGCGUGCCUUUUGUAGAAUGAACCGGCGAGUUACGAUUUGAUGCAAGGUUAAGCAGUAAAUGUGGAGCCGUAGCGAAAGCGAGUCUGAAUAGGGCGUUUAGUAUUUGGUCGUAGACCCGAAACCAGGUGAUCUACCCUUGGUCAGGUUGAAGUUCAGGUAACACUGAAUGGAGGACCGAACCGACUUACGUUGAAAAGUGAGCGGAUGAACUGAGGGUAGCGGAGAAAUUCCAAUCGAACCUGGAGAUAGCUGGUUCUCUCCGAAAUAGCUUUAGGGCUAGCCUCAAGUGAUGAUUAUUGGAGGUAGAGCACUGUUUGGACGAGGGGCCCCUCUCGGGUUACCGAAUUCAGACAAACUCCGAAUGCCAAUUAAUUUAACUUGGGAGUCAGAACAUGGGUGAUAAGGUCCGUGUUCGAAAGGGAAACAGCCCAGACCACCAGCUAAGGUCCCAAAAUAUAUGUUAAGUGGAAAAGGAUGUGGCGUUGCCCAGACAACUAGGAUGUUGGCUUAGAAGCAGCCAUCAUUUAAAGAGUGCGUAAUAGCUCACUAGUCGAGUGACACUGCGCCGAAAAUGUACCGGGGCUAAACAUAUUACCGAAGCUGUGGAUUGUCCUUUGGACAAUGGUAGGAGAGCGUUCUAAGGGCGUUGAAGCAUGAUCGUAAGGACAUGUGGAGCGCUUAGAAGUGAGAAUGCCGGUGUGAGUAGCGAAAGACGGGUGAGAAUCCCGUCCACCGAUUGACUAAGGUUUCCAGAGGAAGGCUCGUCCGCUCUGGGUUAGUCGGGUCCUAAGCUGAGGCCGACAGGCGUAGGCGAUGGAUAACAGGUUGAUAUUCCUGUACCACCUAUAAUCGUUUUAAUCGAUGGGGGGACGCAGUAGGAUAGGCGAAGCGUGCGAUUGGAUUGCACGUCUAAGCAGUAAGGCUGAGUAUUAGGCAAAUCCGGUACUCGUUAAGGCUGAGCUGUGAUGGGGAGAAGACAUUGAGUCUUCGAGUCGUUGAUUUCACACUGCCGAGAAAAGCCUCUAGAUAGAAAAUAGGUGCCCGUACCGCAAACCGACACAGGUAGUCAAGAUGAGAAUUCUAAGGUGAGCGAGCGAACUCUCGUUAAGGAACUCGGCAAAAUGACCCCGUAACUUCGGGAGAAGGGGUGCUCUUUAGGGUUAACGCCCAGAAGAGCCGCAGUGAAUAGGCCCAAGCGACUGUUUAUCAAAAACACAGGUCUCUGCUAAACCGUAAGGUGAUGUAUAGGGGCUGACGCCUGCCCGGUGCUGGAAGGUUAAGAGGAGUGGUUAGCUUCUGCGAAGCUACGAAUCGAAGCCCCAGUAAACGGCGGCCGUAACUAUAACGGUCCUAAGGUAGCGAAAUUCCUUGUCGGGUAAGUUCCGACCCGCACGAAAGGCGUAACGAUUUGGGCACUGUCUCAACGAGAGACUCGGUGAAAUCAUAGUACCUGUGAAGAUGCAGGUUACCCGCGACAGGACGGAAAGACCCCGUGGAGCUUUACUGUAGCCUGAUAUUGAAAUUCGGCACAGCUUGUACAGGAUAGGUAGGAGCCUUUGAAACGUGAGCGCUAGCUUACGUGGAGGCGCUGGUGGGAUACUACCCUAGCUGUGUUGGCUUUCUAACCCGCACCACUUAUCGUGGUGGGAGACAGUGUCAGGCGGGCAGUUUGACUGGGGCGGUCGCCUCCUAAAAGGUAACGGAGGCGCUCAAAGGUUCCCUCAGAAUGGUUGGAAAUCAUUCAUAGAGUGUAAAGGCAUAAGGGAGCUUGACUGCGAGACCUACAAGUCGAGCAGGGUCGAAAGACGGACUUAGUGAUCCGGUGGUUCCGCAUGGAAGGGCCAUCGCUCAACGGAUAAAAGCUACCCCGGGGAUAACAGGCUUAUCUCCCCCAAGAGUUCACAUCGACGGGGAGGUUUGGCACCUCGAUGUCGGCUCAUCGCAUCCUGGGGCUGUAGUCGGUCCCAAGGGUUGGGCUGUUCGCCCAUUAAAGCGGUACGCGAGCUGGGUUCAGAACGUCGUGAGACAGUUCGGUCCCUAUCCGUCGUGGGCGUAGGAAAUUUGAGAGGAGCUGUCCUUAGUACGAGAGGACCGGGAUGGACAUACCUCUGGUGUACCAGUUGUCGUGCCAACGGCAUAGCUGGGUAGCUAUGUGUGGACGGGAUAAGUGCUGAAAGCAUCUAAGCAUGAAGCCCCCCUCAAGAUGAGAUUUCCCAACUUCGGUUAUAAGAUCCCUCAAAGAUGAUGAGGUUAAUAGGUUCGAGGUGGAAGCAUGGUGACAUGUGGAGCUGACGAAUACUAAUCGAUCGAAGACUUAAUCAA